This 128-nucleotide ribosomal RNA is filed under the name Cavia aperea (Brazilian guinea pig). Lineage: Eukaryota; Metazoa; Chordata; Mammalia; Rodentia; Caviidae. The record is from RNAcentral.
GUUUACGGCCAUACUACCCUGAACACACCUGAUCUCGUCUGAUCUCGGAAGCUAAGCAGGGUCAGGCCUGGUUAGUACUGGAUGGGAGAAUUGAUUAAUAUUUCUCGGAUGAUUAGUGAUGGUGAAUG